UUUCAUUUAGGUUAUCAAAUAUCUUUUGGCUGUUAGGAUUUAUAGCUGUGACAUCCAUCAUGAUGAUUCAAAGAGCCUAAUCAUCCAAUAAAACAUGCAGAAAAGUUUACAUGGAUGAUGUUUAUCUGAAUUAUUUGCUCAAGAGACAGAUAACUGUUUGGGACCUUGGAGGUAGAGCAAUGGAGGAAUUCACUUCUCACAGUGGUAUUAACUGUAAUACGGUUGUAUUGACUGCAGAAUGAGCCGAUAGCAAGGAAGCAGCCCAUCAGGAAAAGCUUAAGAUAAUUUUUGAUGUCAGCAAAAAUGUGAGAAUCAUCCACAGAACUCAGAGCUGUUUUUCUCCCAAUAAAACAUAAAAUGUAGCAGUUUUGGUAGCACUGGAAUCAUAAGGAAAGAAAGGUGCUAUGAAUGAUAAAUGAAAAGC
Molecule: long non-coding RNA, 424 nt
Organism: Heterocephalus glaber (naked mole-rat)
Lineage: Eukaryota; Metazoa; Chordata; Mammalia; Rodentia; Bathyergidae
Source: Ensembl